This 500-nucleotide ribosomal RNA is filed under the name uncultured bacterium. RNAcentral's name for it is "partial 16S ribosomal RNA". It matches the Rfam family "Bacterial small subunit ribosomal RNA", at positions 30 to 523 of the family's 1533-position model. The record is from RNAcentral.
AUUGAACGCUGGCGGAAUGCUCUACACAUGCAAGUCGAACGGCAGCACGGACUUCGGUCUGGUGGCGAGUGGCGAACGGGUGAGUAACAUAUCGGAACGUAUCCAAUAAUGGGGGAUAACGAGUCGAAAGAUUCGCUAAUACCGCAUACGCCCUACGGGGGAAAGCUGGGGACCUUCGGGCCUGGCGUUAAUGGAGCGGCCGAUAUCUGAUUAGCUAGUUGGUGAGGUAAAGGCUCACCAAGGCGACGAUCAGUAGCUGGUCUGAGAGGACGACCAGCCACACUGGAACUGAGACACGGUCCAGACUCCUACGGGAGGCAGCAGUGGGGAAUUUUGGACAAUGGGCGCAAGCCUGAUCCAGCCAUUCCGCGUGAGUGAAGAAGACCUUCGGGUUGUAAAGCUCUUUCGCAAGGGAAGAAAACUUAGCCACUAACAUUGGUUGAGGUUGACGGUACCUUGAUAAGAAGCACCGGCUAACUACGUGCCAGCAGCCGCAGUAA